GCUGACAAAUGAAGCGACCCUUAGUGGUGCGUGGAUGUCGUGAGAUUAGGUUCACCAUGCAUGGUUAAUAAAUUCGAAUCGGUUCGUCUGCCUCUCACAGUUUGGGACUACUUGAUCGCUAUUCUGCACUGAGUAAAGAUGGAACAUGAGGAUAUUAAUCUUGAUGCUUGUUCUUUAAUUGUUUGAAAAACUAUGCUUGCUUAGUAUAAGCUGCUAAUCUAAACUGGUUAAUAAACGUAGAACUUGAGCUAAAAUAUUGAAAGUAAGGACCGACCAUAGACGCUUUUGGCAAAACAAAUCCAAAGCUAAAAAGCCUUGCAUAUCUAGGAGUUGGUGACAGUAGUUAACCCCUGUCGGGUCAGUCUUGCUGAGUAUUAGUUGCUCAGCCUUGCUGUGGCUUAACUUUU
This 407-nucleotide long non-coding RNA is filed under the name Setaria viridis. RNAcentral's name for it is "long non-coding RNA (SVIR_LNC009122)". Lineage: Eukaryota; Viridiplantae; Streptophyta; Magnoliopsida; Poales; Poaceae. The record is from RNAcentral.